Brachypodium distachyon (stiff brome) is the source of this 2923-nucleotide RNA transcript. RefSeq lists it as uncharacterized. Lineage: Eukaryota; Viridiplantae; Streptophyta; Magnoliopsida; Poales; Poaceae. The transcript has 3 exons. The record is from RefSeq and is a predicted model, not a curated record.
CAAAAUAGAGAAUAUAUGUCUCAGUUACUAGUAGCGGUCCUGCUAUGUUCGGCCGACACUGAUGAAAAGGAAGCACAAACAGUGUGCUUCACAUUCUGGUUGGCUGAAAGGGUGGAGGCUUGGAUCGGUGAGGUGGCACCCUCGCAGUCCACUUCUUUCUUUCUUAUCUCUCUGUCUCCACCACCCACGCACCCAUCUCUCUCUUCCUCUCUCGUCUGUGCUCUGCUAUCUCUCUCCCUACCACGAUUCCAGCCACAGCCGCUCAACUCAAGAAAAAAAGCCACGGCCGCCGCCACCGCGUUGGAGGGACAGGGCGCCGCCUCCGUUCCAGGUCGCUGCCGCCGCGCUGGAGGGCGCCAUGCCCCGUCGCCUCCGUUCCUCGCCGCGGCACCUUGCUCCGACCCACAGCGCGCCGCCAAUCGCCGUCGUCGACCCCUCUUGCUGCCGGAUCCGGCGACCUCAACCCCGGCCACCUCUAGAUCCUGUGCCCCCGCCCCGAGCUCGCAGGUGGAGAGGAGAAGCUCGGCGCUGCACACCGACGAAGAGGAGGAGGAUGAAGUUCCUGCUGCGGACGACAGCGUUCGUGGCGGUGGAACCGGCCGCCCUCGGCCCGUCCACCGUGGAUCCGGCCGGCAUCGGCCGUUCUCCACCGAUCUCCUCGAAGCGCCGCCGUCCAUCUCCAGUGCGCCAACUGGUCUGGGUUCGGGCUCCAGGUACCUCUCCUCUCCCUCUCUUUGUUCUCUCUCCCUCUCAGUUCUCUCGGUUGAUUGUGGAUGGAAUUCGGGAUUUGUUGAUUGUGGAUGGAUUUGUGUGUUGUGGAUAUAUUGCACUGUGGAUGUAUUUGUGUAUUGCCGCUGGUUCUGGUGCAGGCCGGCCGGGAGGCCGUGCUUUUUUGUUUUGUUUUGCAAAACCACAUCAGUGUCGGGUGUAAUAUGUGACCGCCAUUGAUGAUGGCAUCAUCAGUAACGACCGUUACUACAGGAAGCUAAUGACGGUCUGAUGAUGUUUUUAGACCGUUACUGAACGCUGCACUGCCUGCUCGUCGGCACCGGGGAAGACGAAGAUGGCCGUCGGACCCGUACCACAAACCAUACAAGCGUAUCGGAUCUUAUUCGAUUACUAUGGGGUUCGUGAUCCAACUUCAAAUACCUCUAAUGAUCGAAUAGACCACAGUCCACAUAGACCGACGGCCCAGGCCUACCUCAUGUCCUUGGUUUAGACUUAGACUCUGCACAUGGUUGAGACCGCAGUGGCGCAUCUGCUGAUCUGCCGGCGCUGCCCUUGGCGAGUACAAGGGCGGCCAGGAGGAGGACGUCAGGAAGGCCAAGACGCCAAGUAGGGCAGUAGGAGAGCAAAGAUGGCGGACUCCGGAGAUCGGUAAUAAAGGUGGUAGAUUUUGUCUCCACUUCUCUACUCCACUUGGUGAUGUAUCUGCUACUGAUUUACGGAGGAAUAGCUCAAACGAACUGAUGACUGGCGGCCAAACACUUUGUAGGACGUCUUCUUAGCGAGAGACGUUACGAACAGAGGCGCCUCUCGGGAACGCAUUCACGGAUACCUGGGGGGCAAAGUGCAAAAAUCAGAGUAAGUACUCUGUUUACAUGCAGUCCGGCCAUUAGCUUAGCUAGGACACUUAGUUAUCGGGUGGGACCCACAUUGGCCUUAAGAGCGCGAUCCCGCAGCUCGUUGCCCUAGCCCCCACGCAGCUUGCUCGUGCCGCCGCCACCGCCGCACCGCGCCGAUAGCCUCACCGCACCACGCACCCCUGCCGGCCCCCGAAGUGCCGCCGGCACCCGCGCCGCGACCGCCAACCGCGCCGGCAUCCUCACAGGCUGACCCCUGCCUUCCCUUGCACGCAUCGGCACCCGCGUCCAUUGCUCCCCUGCCUCCACCAGCGCCGUGUUCGAACCCGCAACCCCCUGCAGUCCUCUCCUCACGCCGCCGCUGGAACGCGUCGAGAGCUUCGCGUAGGUUCUAGUCCACCCGGGAACCUCAUCCGCACCCCUGCUGCCACCAGCGCCGGCGGACCAAUCCGAAAUCGACGGGAUGCCGCGUAGUGCUGCACCAGCACCUGAGGUAAUAGAGCCCAUAGAUUCGUAUGCCCCCCCUCCCUUCCGACCCCUGGAAUAUUUACUAUGAUAAAAUUUCCCCUCGAAUCGUCCGAGUUGAGCCCGAUUUGAAGACGAAUCCUCCGAUUUGAUCCCGAAUUGAGGUCGAUUUGGCCACCGUGGACCGGGAUGGGGCGCGGUGGGUUCACAGACGACGGAGGAGCUUCCAUGAUGGACUGGCUCAUCGAUUCGGUGGAGAGUAGCAUCGAUUCUGUGGAGAAGCGCAACCAGGGUUAUUUUGACCCAGAUUACUUGUUGGAGCAUGAGCAUGAUGACGACGAGCAGAAUCUGGGCGAGAGCAGUGAUGCGAUGAACAAGAUUUUGGCUAGUUAUGAAGCACAGGUGAAAGAAGAGAAGAUGAAGAACCAAAAAUUACUAGAUGACAUGUUAAAGCUUGAGAUUGAGCUUGCUUUCCAGGACCAAGUGAUAGAAGAGUUGGAAAGCAAGAUUGCUGAAAAUCAGAAGCAGAAUGAAGAGCUGAAAAGAGAACCGGAAGAAAGGAAGAUUGUGAAUGUAGAGGUUGGACAAGUUAGGGAUUUUGCAGUGGCAUCUUGGAGUGUGGGCAUCACCUUAGUUUUUGUUUUAGCUUGAUUGUGGCUUGGUCUUAGUUAUGUCAAUUGUUUAAGUGUGCUUUGGUUUGUUGUACUCAGUGGCAUCAUGGGGUGUGGGCAUCGCUUUUAGCUGUCGUUUUAGCUAGUUCUGUGAGUGGGCCUAAGUUCUGUCAGUUGUUGUAUAAUUGCUUUGGUUUGUUGUGCUUGGAAGCUGCCGGCAUGUGUGAGACAUUUUAAAUAAUGAGACUGGGAGUAUUGUAACAA